This 355-nucleotide unclassified non-coding RNA is filed under the name soil metagenome. RNAcentral's name for it is "partial contains 5.8S ribosomal RNA, internal transcribed spacer 2, and large subunit ribosomal RNA". The stretch from base 1 to 120 matches the Rfam family "5.8S ribosomal RNA", at positions 35 to 154 of the family's 154-position model. The record is from RNAcentral.
GAUGAAGAACGCAGUGAAACGCGAUAUGUAAUGUGAAUUGCAGAAUUCAGUGAAUCAUCGAAUCUUUGAACGCACAUGGCGCCUUCCAGUAUCCUGGGAGGCAUGCCUGUCCGAGCGUCGUUUCAACCCUCGAGCCCCCGUGGCCCGGCGUUGGGGAUCUGCCCAGGCAGUCCCCGAAAACCAGUGGCGGACCCGUUACCAGGCCCUUCCCUUGCGUAGUAGCAUUCGCCUCGCAUCGGGAGCCGGCGGGCUUCCAGCCUCUAAACCCCCAUCAAGUCCGCCCCGGCGGCACCAAGGUUGACCUCGGAUCAGGUAGGAAUACCCGCUGAACUUAAGCAUAUCAAUAAGCGGAGGA